This 2187-nucleotide long non-coding RNA is filed under the name Homo sapiens (human). RNAcentral describes it as "HSALNT0366309". The record is from RNAcentral. Lineage: Eukaryota; Metazoa; Chordata; Mammalia; Primates; Hominidae.
UCUGCGUCGCUCACGCUGGGAGCUGUAGACCGGAGCUGUUCCUAUUCGGCCAUCUUGGCUCCUCCGCCUCAGAGGUAUUAUCGCUUCAGUUCCAGAUCACCACAGUAAAUACUGCAAUACACCAGGUGCAAGUUGAUAAAAGAAUUCUGGAAAUUGAAGGCCAAGGAAGAGUGACUCAAAAAUAAGAAGCAGGCUGAAAAAUGAGAUGAGGAGACCGAGGCUCGGAGAGGCUUAUGCAUUUGCCCAAGACUCUACAACUCCACAACUUAACAGGCAAUUGCAUCUAGCAUAUAAUGUGUUGGUUAUCCCCAGAACACAGAGCAGUGCAUCUCCACAGCGAGAAUUCCAGAACAGGGUAAUCAUCAAGAAUCAAAUGGCUUGGAUCUGGUCUCUUCUCUUUGAGGAAGCAAGCAGGCAUGGAGGUGAGUCAGGCCAUUGGAAGAUUUCCUGUGGCUGAUGAAGAAUCCAACUCCAGGUUGCUCUUCUUUGAAGAGGAUUCCAGAAAUGCUUAGGGGCUGCUUGUUUGGACUGUAGGAGCUUAGCUGAGCACCAAGCACCAGCAGGAAUCAGAGAAUGGUGGCUUCCAUCCUCUGCGCACAGCAGCAAGGAAGAUAUAUUGUUGUUUAUAAUUGCACUCCUGUGUCCUUACAGGCCACUUCCUCUUUCUCUCUCUCUGUGAUCUCAGGCAUGUUGUGUGCUUCCAGCUCAAGCCGGCUCUGUGUUUUAGGCCAACCAACACAAUUCAUAUAACAUCCUUGCACAUUUCCACCAUUUCCCGCCUCACCAUGCCUCAGAGGACUACAGGCUCCCCAAGACGGGACAUGGUUGGGCAGGUACCGGAUAGAUGCUGUCACUGCUGAAAAAGAAAAAAAUAUCCAAAGUAUUCACGUUGUACCUGCUGAGUGCCAGUACUGCAUGCUCUGGGGAUUCCAUUCCUGCCCCUAUGGAAGAGGGGUCAACUUUUCCAAAACAUCAUCUUCUAGAGGAAGAAGCUGAAGCCCAGCAAGGAAAAGUAACAUAACGAAGAUCUCAGCAGAAUGACGGUUAUCUGAGCAUCUAUAUUCUGGGGUUGCAAAAAGAACAAGAACGUAGGGUUCAAUGGACCUGAGUUCCAGGCCUCACUCUGUCACCAGCUGACUGUAAGAAGCCCACCCACCUCCACCUUCUCUAGAUCACAUGUUUUAUGGCCGCCUCAAAGGCGUGAAGCAGGUGAGUCGUGCUGCCUCUGCCAACAUCUGCUUUGUGAGCCUGGGAGUAUUUCACGGAGAUGUUUCUCUCGACAGGUUUAUGGCUGGUCUUGGCUCAGUGCCUUGAAAACACUGAUCAUGUGAUGAAACGAGAAUGUCAUGCUGCGGGCCAUCAAUAAACCACACUGGCAUUCCCGCUCCCACCCCGACACCACUCCACCCAUGCAAUUUCCCUCCCCUUCAGCCUCCUCCCUCCCCACCUCCCAAAGAUAUCCAGACCAGGCCAACUCAUUAGGAAGUGACAUCCACCAGGAUUCUUGGCCCCAGUCAAAAGAGUGGCCAGAGCUUGUCUGCUGCUUGCGGAUACUUUUCUGUUUUGUGUUAAACGUUUGAGUUUGGAAAUGAGCAAGAGCUAUGUCUAAGGGAAACCAGACAGCUUGUUUGAAAAUCCACUAAAUGGCCAUCGGAGGAUCAUGCCAGAUCUUAGAACAAAGUCUCAGUUAUUGCCUGAAAGCAUAAACUUUCAGGCAAGGCAUCUUCUCCAUGCUCCUCAGCAUCUGCAGAGUAGCAGAGACUUGAAAGAGAUGUGUCCUCUGGAUCCCACGUCAGAUGAUACAUCUUGGGAUUUCCCUACCUGGGGGAAGAGUGGGUUUUCCUGAGGAAAUUGCAAGUGGGCCUGAGUUUCUAGAGUGUGAGGUGAAAUGGAUGCCACUGUACUGAAUUCUGACCAAAACUCUGGAGAGAUGCUGCGAAGGAACUCAGCUUCCACUGAAAGGGUCAGUGAAGGCUUCAAGGACAGUAUCACAGCACUUUCCUAUCACUUCUAUAAAAAUCACAUCCACUUUUUCCCACCAACUUGCCCAUUCUCCUUGUCUGGGACACAGGCCCUGGUACUUUACAUUCAGGUCAUUUCCAAGGGAUAGAGAGAAAUAGACAGAGGCUGAAAGAGUGAUGGGGCCGGGAGACGCUGAGAUCAUUCAACUACCAAUGCCAUUCUGAA